Molecule: ribosomal RNA, 508 nt
Filed under: uncultured bacterium
Lineage: Bacteria
Description: partial 16S ribosomal RNA
Rfam family: Bacterial small subunit ribosomal RNA
Source: RNAcentral
AGUGAGCGCUGGCGGUAGACCUAACACAUGCAAGUCGAGCGAGAACCAGGGCUUCGGCCCUGGGGAAAGCGGCGAACGGGUGAGUAACACGUGGGUAAUCUGCCCUCGGCACCGGGAUAGCCCGGGGAAACCCGGAUUAAUACCGGAUGGCCUCCCGAGCCCUUGGGCGCGGGAGAAAAGGUAGCUUCGGCCUCCGGCCGAGGAGGAGCCCGCGGCGGAUUAGCUUGUUGGCGGGGUAACGGCCCACCAAGGCGACGAUCCGUAGCUGGUCUGAGAGGACGAUCAGCCACACUGGGACUGAGACACGGCCCAGACUCCUACGGGAGGCAGCAGUAGGGAAUCUUGCGCAAUGGGCGAAAGCCUGACGCAGCGACGCCGCGUGCGGGAAGAAGGCCCUCGGGUUGUAAACCGCUUUCAGGAGGGAAGAAGCCACUCGGGUUAAUAGCCCAGAGGGUGACGGUACCUCCAGAAGAAGCCCCGGCUAACUACGUGCCAGCAGCCGCGGUAA